UACGUAGGUGGCAAGCGUUGUCCGGAUUUAUUGGGUUUAAAGGGUGCGUAGGCGGUUUUCUAAGUCAGUGGUGAAAUACGGCAGCUUAACUGUCGAGGUGCCAUUGAUACUGGGAGACUUGAGUACUGAUGAGGUAGGCGGAAUGGACGGUGUAGCGGUGAAAUGCUUAGAGAUCGUCCAGAACACCGAUAGCGAAGGCAGCUUACUAGACUGAAACUGACGCUGAGGCACGAAAGUGUGGGGAUCAAACAGG
This 253-nucleotide ribosomal RNA is filed under the name uncultured bacterium. RNAcentral's name for it is "partial 16S ribosomal RNA". It matches the Rfam family "Bacterial small subunit ribosomal RNA", at positions 524 to 776 of the family's 1533-position model. The record is from RNAcentral.